GUGGGGAAUUUUGGACAAUGGGCGAAAGCCUGAUCCAGCAAUGCCGCGUGCAGGAUGAAGGCCUUCGGGUUGUAAACUGCUUUUGUACGGAACGAAAAGCUUCGGGUUAAUACCCUGGAGCCAUGACGGUACCGUAAGAAUAAGCACCGGCUAACUACGUGCCAGCAGCCGCGGUAAUACGUAGGGUGCAAGCGUUAAUCGGAAUUACUGGGCGUAAAGCGUGCGCAGGCGGUUUUGUAAGACAGAGGUGAAAUCCCCGGGCUCAACCUGGGAACUGCCUUUGUGACUGCAAGGCUAGAGUACGGCAGAGGGGGAUGGAAUUCCGCGUGUAGCAGUGAAAUGCGUAGAUAUGCGGAGGAACACCGAUGGCGAAGGCAAUCCCCUGGGCCUGUACUGACGCUCAUGCACGAAAGCGUGGGGAGCAAACAGGAUUAGAAACCCUAGUAGUCC
Molecule: ribosomal RNA, 450 nt
Filed under: uncultured bacterium
Lineage: Bacteria
Description: bacterial SSU rRNA
Rfam family: Bacterial small subunit ribosomal RNA
Source: RNAcentral